This is a long non-coding RNA of Saccostrea cuccullata (small rock oyster), 592 nucleotides long. RefSeq lists it as uncharacterized. The transcript has 4 exons. The record is from RefSeq and is a predicted model, not a curated record. Lineage: Eukaryota; Metazoa; Mollusca; Bivalvia; Ostreida; Ostreidae.
UCUGCUGACCGCGUGUCCUUAGGACCUACUGACGGCUGAAGACAGACAGACUGUACUGUUUGAGCUGCUACAGGAACUACAGAGAAAGGUGACAGAGGAUGACGCGUUGACAGAGUUAACUGCCCUUGUGGCUGAGAUCAUUCUUACUCUGAUGACAAAUCUAGGUCAGUGUUUCUGUCAGGAUUCUGACACUGACGACGAAACCAGUCACACUUCCUCACCAUGCUGGACUCCACAGCAGGUUAAGGUCAAACAGGGUCAUGGGGUCAAGUGUCAGGGUCACGAACCCAAUUUGCUUCCUCCCUUUAACUGGUGCUUAGAGGAGUGAUAGAUCACAUUCUGCUCUCAAGUGGUGGCAAGCAGUAGAGAGAAAGAGCCAAUCUAUAUGGGGCCCUGCUGUUAAUUAUCUAAAAAUCGUUCAGAAACCCAAGUCACUGACUCACAUAGAUACAGAGGCAGGAGGUGAUGGGGUUGGGAAGAGGAUUUUGGCCGAGGCCCACUCUGAGUAUGAGCAGCUGAGACAAGAAAAUGUAGCCACCAUUGUGUCGUACGGCGACAACUUUAUGGACAUGGUGUAUCGUGAUGUGAUGGA